RNAcentral lists this long non-coding RNA (10495 nucleotides) under Malus domestica (apple). Its description in RNAcentral is "long non-coding RNA (MDOM_LNC020357)". Lineage: Eukaryota; Viridiplantae; Streptophyta; Magnoliopsida; Rosales; Rosaceae. The record is from RNAcentral.
AAGUUUAUAUUCAUUGGUAGUGAAGGUUGCUAGUCACAAUCGCGUUAAUUGAAUUCUUGGCAAACGUAUCAUGCAUUCAUAGUUACAAUUGCCUCGUCAACACUUAUGAUUUUCAUUGAACGUAAUGAUCUUUGAUUGUAUCUCUAUUAUGCAUUCAUGUAGGGGACUUUUGGAGAAUAAUUUGGAUUGUCGUAUGCAUUCAUCCAAUUCAAUAAAUCAAGGAAAAUCUGAGGAUUAAUUAGUGAAUCACGGUUAAUCUGGGGUGUUGAGUUUCAUAAUCUAUUGAAAAGCAAUUGGAAAUCAAUUCAUGUACAAGUGUGUCAUGUGUGAAGAAUGGAUCUCUAGCUAAUCCAUCAACCAUCUGUUUAGUUUUACUUUUUGUUGUUAUCUCAAUCUCAUCAAAACCAAAUCCCCUUUUUUCUUAAUUCUUGUUCUAAAGUGUCUUAAAUUUGUUUAGUUUGUGCUUUAAAGUGUUUUGAGUCUAGUGAGGUAUUGUAAGGUAUAGUUUUGUGUCAUUGAGUCUAUUCUAAACAUUUUUAACUUUGUUCUUAUAUUUUUGAGUCAAGUGAGAGGUCAUUAGCAAGUCCUCCUAAUCCCCGGUCCAGAACGAUCCCUACUUAUACAUAUACUACAAUUGUCAACAAGAAGGUUUAAUUUGUGUGUCAAGUAAUUCUCGCAUCAAAUUUUGGCGCCGUUGCCGGGGAUUAGCAACUUUGCUAAUCCCUUGGUUCUUUUCUUUUUGUUUAGUUUGUUUUUGUUUUAGUUUCUGACUUAGUUUUGUUUUCCUUGUUUUGUGUUACUUUUGAUAUUUGAUUUAUUUUUCUUUCUUUGAUUUUAGGUACAAAUGGAGCGAGACAUGGCACUUGCGACCAUUCAAGCUCAAUUGGCACAGCUCACUGCUCAAUUGACUCAUAAUGCCGAACGGACCACAAUGCCAAGUGUCCCUACAUUUGAUGCAAAUGAAGAUGUUUGGGGAUAUCAUUAGCAAGUCCUUAAUUUUAUGCAAAUGAAGAUGUUUGGGGAUAUCAAGGCCAUAACCAAUCAAGGGGCAACAUAUUUUCCAACGCGUACAAUUCAGAUUGGAGAGGUAAUUCAGAUUAUAUGUGGGAUGAACCUCAACAAUUUCAACAAGGUGGAUAUUGGCAGCAAGACGAGUUUUAUUCAAGACCUAUGCAGCCACCACAGCAUCCCCCACAACAAUUCCAAUCAAAUCAAAGUAUGCCCGUGAAUUAUAAUGAAAUUCUUGAAGGACUAAUUUCUGUGGCGCAGGGUUUACAAAAAGAAGAACAAUUGCCGCCAUCAGAAGAGUUCUAUCAGUAGCCAUAUGAACCGUCACAGCCACCACAACAAUCAACCCAAUUCAAUUCAGGUACAUCCUUGGAUAAUGAUACACUUAAUAAGUUACUCACCUUUUUGAAUCAGGGCAAAACCAGGAGAUGCAAGACCGAGUCAAAAGAUUGGACAAAUUGGAUAUGCAAGUUGGGCAGAUUGUGGAAUUCAUGGCACAGAUUCGAGAUCAAAGUGAACUUUCCAACUCAAACAUUGCAAAUUCAAAGGCAGAAGUUGAAAUCGAUGAAGCCAUCACUUUGGAAGAAUGAACACAUGAAGGAUGAAGCUGAAUCCAGAACAAUCAACAACACAGCCCGAACAUGGAUGAAUUGCUGCUGCAAGCAGAAGAGGAGAAGGACGAAGACCUGGGUUCAAGAAGUUAGAAGAAUUCUUGCUGCAACUCCUCAAAUCCCAUGUCAUUGAAACACUGGAUUCAACAAGUUCAAUCAAAUGUCCCCAAGUUCAAAUUUGUUCCAACAAUGUGCCUGUUUGUCAUUGAAAGUUUGUGUUCAAAGAAAAAGAAAGUAAGCCAUCUUCUCCAAUUCAAUUUUAAUGGAAUUAUACUAAACAUGUUUCUGAUUUUGAUGAUUCAAGGCACCCACUCUUGAAUUUAAACCAUUGCCCCAAAGAAUCAUUUCAAGAUAUCACACCAUCCAUUAAAAGAAACCCGGAAAUUUCCAAUGCUUUUGGAGCCGAGGGGAGUUUAAAAAGAUGUCCGGCUAAGGACGUUAAAUCAAGCGCUUCUUGUUCAGAGGCAACCCAAGCAUUUCAACGAAGGGAGACUUUGGAAUCGCUAACCAAAUCAGGGAGCAUUUUGCAUUACACCCUUAUCUUUACUGCUUUCAUUUUGUUCAGUUAGUUGUGUUAUUUGGUUGAUUUCUGUGAGUUUGUGUUAUUUAGUUUAAGUGUGGGGGAAGGUUAAACAAAGUCUUUUUACAUUGAUUUACAUAUUUUACAUUGAUUUAAAAAAAAAAAAAACAUAAAAGUAAAAAUAUUUUACAAUGAUGUGUAAACUAAUAGUUUUCAUUGGUCAGGUGGUGCUUCAGUAGUCGGCGGAGCUUCAGCAGUCGGUGGGGCCACGGAAGGAGGAGGUAUCAAAGGUUGAUCAGUUGGAGCUUCACUACGCGGUGCCGCUCCAGAAGACGAAGGCAGAUGUUGUUGGAACAAACCCACAAACCUCCGAUGAUCAAGUAAAAUCUGACCAUUAGAUUCAUGUAUCUGGUCAAUUUUCCUCUUCAUGUUUGUGGCAUAGUUGUGUGCAAGCUUGUGCAAUUGUUUAUUUUCAUGCUUGAGUCCUCUAAUCUCCUCUUUGAGACUCUGUAUUUCAGCCACCAACGAUUCAACGUGACGGGUUCGAGCAAAUAGGCGUUGGGCCAUGUUGGACACAGAACCCGCACACUGCACACUAAGAGCCAGAGACUCCUUAACCGCCAAUUCAUCAGACCGUCUAGCAAGCAGUCUGUUAUCUCUGGGGGUGACAAGGUUCCGGGCCACCACCACAGCGGUCAUGUCAUUUUUCAUCACCGAAUCCCCAACGGUGAGAGGACCAGUAGGGGAUAUGAAAGAUGGGCUCCAUAUGUUGUCUGGUGAAGGCGGAGCUGCCUCUUCACCAAUGUUCAAGUCAAAACGACGAUCGGAAGGGCCAGACAUUUUCUGAAGGUGUUGAGAAAGAAGAGAUCGGACAGAUUAAGAAUUUGGAAAUUGCAAGAAGGGAGUGUUUACAAGAGGGAGCUCAAGUGUGUUGUGGAACACAAUUAGCGCCUCUAUAAAAAGAAGAAAUCGGAGAGGCGCUCCUCAGAGAAGCGUCCUCUCGCAAAUCGAAGAGUCGGGGCUCCUUUCUCAAACGCCUGAUUCUUUUCUCAAAAGAGGAGCCUUUCUGCCGGUUUCUUUUCUUAAAAGAGGCGUUUCAUUUCUCAAAAAAUGGGCUUGCUCAGAAACCACGAGCCGAACCCCGGAUUUCAAAAGAUCAAUUUGUCCAGACGUGUCGUCACUCGUCACAUGCAACUGGCAGCUUUGCGGAAAUUACGGGCAACUUUGUUAGAAAGCGCGUAAUUUGUACUAUUCAUCCAUCUACCGGCUGCCGACAAUGAGUGAGAGAAUAGUUCCGGUUGUGAAGAAAAGUCCUAUAAGUAUUUACCUUCGCCUUCCACAGCAAAGGCACACCUUCUUCAUCUCCGAGAUUGCAUUCCCAAAGAACCCUCUCGAGUCACUCUGUAUUCCUCAAGAACCCUUCACUCUGGGAUUCCUCAUUCCCUGGCCCCCUGCAAACAACCCAUCCAGAGCAAAAGUAUUUCAUAUCAUAAAGGUUGAAAGCAAGAGUAUCUCAUCUCAUGCAUUCUCCAUGUCCUUUUCCUUGUCUUUGUUCUAACCUGCAGGACAUGGAGAAAUUGCUCUCGAGUACUCGUCUUCCACUGCUGAUGUACUUGCAAAGAAGCUGCCACAUCUACCUGAAGAACAGAUAAGGCAAGCGAAAAUGAUACCAGCAGCAUGUGGAGACAACGUACAGAAGAAACAAGCAGAGAAGAAUGCAGCUUGCACAAUCAUCCCAGCGGAAGGAGUCUGAGAUGAAGAACAAGAGAAGCUGCCACAUCUGCUUGGAGAACAAAUAAGGAACUGCAACAUCGCCAAAGAGCAAAGUCUCGCCGUACAAUAUCAUCAAAUCAUCACUUGCAAGUAAAAAGCUAAGUGUCACCCAGUUCAAGAGGAAAACUGUGGAAAGUCAACAAGCACGACUAAUGAUCACUUAUUAGUUCUAUUCAUUGUCUUUUAUCGUGAUUUUCAAUUUUUCGUUUGCAAUUCUUGCGUUACUUAACUGAUUUAUUUCUUUUCUUUGCAGGAACUUUUGGUUAUUUCCACCCUUGAAGUUGAUUGCAGAAUUUUAGCUUGGGGGGUCAUCGCUUGGUUUUACUGCAAACUAGGGAAGUUUUUAGUCCAAUUGCUUUAUUUUCUUAUAUUAUAGUGUUUUCUGACAUUGGUAUAGAUUUCAUGGGUCCUUUCCCUCCAUCUUUUGGUUUCACUUAUAUCUUGCUAGCUGUUCAAAUUCCAUUAUUGUUUUGUGAAAACUAAUUUGGGUUUGAAGCCCUCAUUAUUUCCGGAACUCCAUGGAAAUUAAAAGAUUCUAGGAAUUUCCGACUCCAACCAUGGGGUUUUAGUUUGCAUGUUGCCUUCUCGUUGUUUGUUUGCCCUUUGUUUAUGUUUGUGUUUGUUUGACUAAUGUGUGAGUUUAUUUAAAUUGGGGGGGUUGUAAAACAAGUUGCUGUUGCAUGAUUUUCGUGGGAUUUUAUUCACCUAUCACUUACAAUGUUGUGUUUCUUGCUGUUUUUUAAGUGUGUUUUUAAGUGUGUUUUUAAGUUUGUUUUUGACAAAAAAUCAAAAUUUGACAAAAAGUUGAAUUGAAAAAAUUUUGAAAAAAGCCAAAAAGAGAGUUGUUUUUGUGUUGUGUUUGUUUGUGUCUUAGGGUACCUUCCAACAAAAUAAUGAGGAUUUGGUUUUUAAUUGCAUGACUGUUAAAGUUAAAGUUAUAAACAUGGAUGGAAGUUUGAUAUGCUCUUGAUUUAUGCUUGGUUAUAGUUAUAGUUUACGAAUUCACAUGUAAUCACAAAGAAAAAAAUUAGUUUUUGUAACAUGCUUGAAGGAAGGAACUCAAACUAACACUACAACCUUGAGAGACUUGAGCCUAAUACGUUCUUUGGAGAGUUAUUAAUCUGUGCAUUUUUGUUUUCUAAAGUCGUUGCAUGAUCUCAUCAUUCUUUGCUUGGUUGCUACUUAGAAGGCGUUUCAUCAUUUAGUUCCAAAUACUAGAACUUAUGCCCGUUCCAUUCAAAGCAUGACAUUGAUUUGCAUAACACAUAUUCAAGAUGAAGUUGUGUAGUGAACUAGAGCCAAAAAGCUUAUCCCGUGCAUAUUUGUUUAAGUUUAACCCCGUUGAGCCUUGUUUAGCCUGUUUCUUUGUUAAACGACAUUUCCCUUACCUAGCCUAGAUUAGGACUAUCCAUACCCUUGUUUUUAAAGCAUAAUGAAGCAUGACUUAAAAUGAAUUCCUUUUGAGUGUCCUUAUGCAGAAAACAAGUGUGGGGGAAUGAGAUUUUUGUGUUUUGUGUGCCAAAAGAAAGUAAUAAGGCACGGGUUAGAAAAGAAAAAAAAGAAAAAAGAAAAGAAAAAGUGUUGAAAAGAAAAGAAAAAGAGUUUGAAAUAAGUGAGGAAAGGCUCACAAGUGUUGUUUGUUGUAGAAAGGGUCCAAAAAGUUGAAAUUGGCCCUAAAAAGUUGAAUGAAUAAUCCCAUUGUGUUUAAAGUUAGUUGCUGCAUUCAAAGGGAAUUCUAAGCAUCAAUUUCAUUACUUUGCUUAUUAUGCUUUAAAAACGUUUGUUUCCUUACCUUUCAUUGUUAGCCAAUCAACCCUAACCCCGUUACAACCCUUAACUUCAAUCUUGAGUGUUAUGUGUUUCAAUAUGUAGAGUUUGGGAUUGGUACGAGCAUAUGGUGUCCCUGGUUCUCGCAUCUAAGUAGUAGCAUUCCAGUCAUGAGAUCAUAUCUAUACAUGCUUAAUAACUCCAGAAAUUACUUUCUUUGCUAUAAACAUAUGUGAGUGUUCAUUUUCAUGUUUACAUCAAUCUUCUCACAUACACCUAGUGUAGGGUGAGUAGUCAGAAAAUCAGAGUGAAAAUAAGAGUGUAUCUUGUAAGGAAUUGAGCAAAUUCUCUAAGGCAUGUCACUACAUUCAAAACAUCGUUUUAAUUGGUUAUAUGUGAACUAGUAUGUGGUGACUAUGAUUAAGUAUGUGCUCAAGGGUAGGGAAGGCAAAAAAAUAUGUGGUUAUGAUGAUCUUUUGCAUGUCAUGUUGCAUUGAAAAUCCCUAAGGUAAAUGUUGGAAGGUUUAGGUUUUGUUUUGUUUAUCUUAUGUUUUUGUUUCUUUGUUUUGCUCGAGGACUAGCAAAAGCUAAGUGUGGGGGAAUUUGAUAGGAGCAUAUUUAUGCGACUUAGUAUGUUUGUUUUCGUGCAUUUAUGUUCUUAGUUCUUAGUUAUGUUAGUAGUUUAAGCUAUUUUUGUGUGUUUGUAGGUUCUUUGGGCCAAGGAUGCAAGAAGGUGCAUUUUGGAGCACUUUGGAGCAUUUUUGGGCCAAGAUUGGAUGGUGCAAACAUGGAGACAUGAGGAUGGACGAAUUUGAUGAUUCAAAGGGCUAGAAAUCUGCAUGUGUGUGUGCAAAGUGUUGGCCUACAACUUCAAACAUCAUAGCUGCCAUGUGAUGGCAGAAAAUGUGUUUAUUGCUAGCUAAAUGGAUGAAGAACAUGCAUGUGCAAGUAUAAACACCACAUGGGCAGCAAGAAGGAAAGAAAACAGCAAAACACACACCACAUGGGCAGCAAGGAAUCAGAAAUUAAAGAAUGGAAGAGUGGGAAGUGAUGAGGACAACACACACACACACACACGGCAAUGGAAUGGAGUUGGCAGAUUUCUACAACAUUGGUAGUGAAUGGACAGCAAGGAAUGGCAGAAAUUGGACCACUAUGAGGUGGAUUUCUGGUUGGUCUUCCACUUAUAGCUUUGGGUGGCUUUGGAAUGAUUAUUUCUAGGUGGAAAUAGCACAAAAACAGCACACACACAUGCAAAACAAAGCUGGCAGCAUCCUUCCCUUCAUUGCCGUGGGUUUUUGUGUGUCCAUUACCUUGCAUUUCUUUUCAUUUCCAACCUCUAUAUAAGCACCAUUCAGCCUUCAAGGAAGACACACAGAAAUUCAUACACAUUUACAUUAGUUCCAAGGCUUGCAAAGAAGGAGGAGUGCUUGGAGUUGUGCUAGCCAUUCCAUUGGAGUUGUUGGAGCAUUCUAGGUGUAUUCUACUUUGUUUUUCUAUGUUUAAUAUCAAUUGUUUUUGUUUAAUUGCAAGUAUGAGGAACUAAUCCCCUACUUAGCUAGGGGGAAGUUCGAAGCCAUGAACAUGCUUGAGAUAUGAAUUGAUUUCUUCCAAUUGUGAUUUAAUAAGUUGUGAAUGCAAUUCAAUUAACUACUUUCUUCAAAACUAAUUCUUGUAUGUUGAUUAAUGAUGCAUACUUAGUUUUCAUGCAUGAAUUUGAUGCUAGGAUAUAAAUGAGUUUCACCUAAUCGUUACAAGUUUAUAUUUCAUUGGUAGUGAAGGUUGCUAGUCACAAUCGCGUUAAUUGAAUUCUUGGCAAACGUAUCAUGCAUUCAUAGUUACGAAUGCCUCGUUAACACUUAUGAUUUUCAUAGAACGUAAUGAUCUUUGAUUGUAUCUCUAUUAUGCAUUCAUGUAGGGGACUUUUGGAGAAUAAUUUGGAUUGUCGUAUGCAUUCAUCCAAUUCAAUAAAUCAAGGAAAAUCUGAGGAUUAAUUAGUGCAUCACGGUUAAUCUGGGGUGUUGAGUUUCAUAAUCUAUUGAAAAGCAAUUGGAAAUCAAUUCAUGUACAAGUGUGUCAUGUGUGAAGAAUGGAUCUCUAGCUAAUCCAUCAACCAUCUAUUUAGUUUUACUUUUUGUUGUUAUCUCAAUCUCAUCAAAACCAAAUCCCCUUUUUUUUUAAUUCUUGUUCUAAAGUGUCUUAAAUUUGUUUAGUUUGUGCUUUAAAGUGUUUUGAGUCUAGUGAGGUAUUGUAAGGUAUAGUUUUGUGUCAUUGAGUCUAUUCUAAACGUUUUUAACUUUGUUCUUAUAUUUUUGAGUCAAGUGAGAGGUCAUUAGCAAGCCCUCCUAAUCCCCGGUCCAGAACGAUCCCUACUUAUACAUAUACUACAAUUGUCAACAAGAGGGUUUAAUUUGUGUGUCAAGUAAUUCUCGCAUCAUGCAUACAAAUGAUGCAUCACAAAGCUCCACGUGGCAUAUGACUCCUCACAAAUAGACAAGUCAUCAAAGACAAGUGGCACAAAUCAAACAAAGGAAGUACAAAACCUUCCCAAAAGUCGGCAAAAGGGAGAAAAUCCCUCUUAAAAUCGACAAAGAGUCCAAGUUGCUCCCAAAACCAGAAAGUAAGCUAAAGCAUCUUCAUAAAACAAGCAAGAAUUGAAGAUUAUUCACAAAAUAGGUAACAAGCCCUAUAUUUUGGCCAAGCAAGGGAAAGUGGCUGAAAUGAAGACACAAAACAUGCCUAAAUUCUCCCAUGGACGAAUCAAGACACAAAUCAAAGCCAAAUCCAUCCAAAUGCAAGCUUUAAGAAGUCUAUAAAUACAAGGUCCUCAAACAAGCAUAAGGGUCGACAAUUUCUACAUUGAAGGGCCGAAAUUCUCAUAAAAGGAGAAACUCUACCAAGUCUUUGAAGACUAAUACACUACCAAAGCUCUCUUCGAAGAACGUACAACCAAAGCUGAAACUUUCUUCUAACCAAAGCUGAAGCAUUCCCUUUAAGAAUCAACAAGCACUUGGGCCGAUUCUUUCAAGACUUUGUUGCAAGCUUAAAACUUGUAACGACAUUCAAUUCAAGAUCAAGUCUCCAAGACCUUUGAAUCAAUAAAAUCCCACAUAACAUCACCUUUGCUGCAUGUCAUGAACAAACCUAGAGGUGAAGACUAUCCAUGCAUUUUUUCAAGCUCAAAACUUGACGCAAUCGUUCAAUUGUUCGUCCGAGAUCAAGUCAUCAUGACCUUUGGAUCAAUAACCUAUGCAUCUACAUCAAAUUUGAUGACUGAAUCAGAGGAAAAUUGUAAACAGAGAUUGUAACCAUACAAAUUCAUCAAUACAAAUCUACAUUGUACACGUGUUCUCAUUUCAUUCAUUACAAAUUUUUUGUGUUUACACACGUGUUAGGAGAAUUUUAAAUGGUAUGUAUUUCUUAUUUACUCCAAAAGAAAUGGUUCUAUCCAUCCUCAAAUUGAACAACCUUUUCAGAUACAUAGUUAGGGGCAAUUGUGAGGUCAUGAUUUUCUAUAACCGGGGUAAAAUGGGUAGGAAUACAAAUACAUCAAAAGUCCAAUCAAGGACUCAACAACUAUGAUCAGACUGAGGUGCACAAACGGACUAACGAUGCUACCAUCAUCCUGUGUCUUGAAAAGGUAGGUGAAGUCCGUCGACUUCACUAAGAUUGACAUUCCUAUAUUCUUGGAAAUUCCUACAAUCUAGGGAUUGGUGUGCGCCGCAAGUAAUAACACUCGUAAAAGGAUGCAAUAUCUACUCCUAGAUAUCCUUUUAGAUUCUCCCGGUUUAAUACAGAUUCUAUACCCUAAAAAAACUCUCUCUCAACUAGUAUAAAAACACCCCUCUAGGGUUCAUCUUUGAUAUCGUAAUCAUCUUAUACUCUAUUCUCUUGCCUACUACUUGAGUCUCAAAUUGCUUACUAACUUAAUCGUCAGAGAGCCUUUGGUUGGCAUCACACCAGUGCCUAGGUUAUCUUAAGCUUGUUUGUCUUUUUACAGGUAGUUACGUUUAUGCAUCUCCUCCACACACAGUGGUGAGCGAAUUUGGUUCCAACAGAGAAGGAAGUGUAACAAGUCGUCCCUAAAUUUACUCCUUUAUUAAUUGUAAAGGUGUGGCCUUAUUUUGUGAGCUAGUAGGGCCCACACCCCACUUCUUCCCUCUAUUCUGUGUCUUCCAGUCUUCUGAACCUUUCUCUCUUUCAACUAUCAUGUCCCUCACUCUCUCUCAUCUUAAACUCUCUCUCUCUCUCUCUCUCUCUCUCUCUCAACCUAUAUCUCUAUCUUCUUGGUAAGACAUCACCGACGCCACUACCUUGCCUCACCGUCUCCAAUAAGCUACACCAGCCAACCCACACCUGCACCACCAUUUGACCCUUCGUGUCUCGAACCCAGGCUAAGACCAUGGAGUCCCGACAAUGGCUAUGUCGCUGUUCAUUGUCUUCCUGAUGCGAAAUAUAUAAGCACACAAAUUAAACCCUCUUUUUGUCAAUUGUAGUAAAGAAUGUAAGUAGGGAUCGUUCUAGGCCGGGGAUUAGGAGGGAUUGCUAAAUCACUUGGAAACUGACUUGAAAACGUAAAAACAAAGUUUAAAGCACUAAACUAGACUCAAAGAAUGCAAAACUAUACUUUAAAAUACUAAGAUAAACAAAAAGAUUCAAAACAGCAAAUAAACACUCAAAACUGCCUUAAAAACACUUUCUGGGCAGUUUUGAACACCUAACACUAAAUUGGACGAAAUUGGGUUAUGACUUGACUUAAGACACUUAAAAACACAAACUAAAGUGAUUACUGACUAAUCUAACAUUUUGAAAUAAA